This 232-nucleotide long non-coding RNA is filed under the name Ananas comosus (pineapple). Its description in RNAcentral is "long non-coding RNA (ACOM_LNC019257)". The record is from RNAcentral. Lineage: Eukaryota; Viridiplantae; Streptophyta; Magnoliopsida; Poales; Bromeliaceae.
UUAAUUAAAUGGGUGGAAUUUGAACUUAAGAUACGAAAUUUAAUUAAAUAGAAAGAAAUUGGAUGAGAGUUUACGAGACUGGUAAAAUUUAAACUUAGGACGUCAUGAUACUAUACGAAAUAAUCAUUACUCUCUAAAAACUUAAAUUACCAGAGAAUAAUAUUUUAAUAUUUCAUACUUAAACAAAAAAAAAGGAGUAUAUUUUUUUGUACAUUUGUUUUUAAUUAAGCUU